Molecule: long non-coding RNA, 563 nt
Organism: Esox lucius (northern pike)
Lineage: Eukaryota; Metazoa; Chordata; Actinopteri; Esociformes; Esocidae
Exons: 3
Source: RefSeq, a predicted model, not a curated record
AAUAUUUAUUCACUCAAAUUAUUUUGGGUCCAUUCAAAAUAGGGGUGAUGUUUAUAUGUUCUAACAUUUAAACAACUCCCAAACUAAAUACAAAUGAUUACGCACAAAUUAAAAUCAUAGUAUCAGGUCCCAAACAGGGACAUUCUCAAGAGUGAACAUUCACCGGUCAAGAUGGCAUCCCUGGACAUGAUGCUAGCAUGUAUGCCAGCCUGCCUAUCCCUGUCACAGACUGUAGCACUUGCUUCAAGGAGACCACCACGAUCCUGGUGUCCAAGACAACCAAGGUCAGAGCACUUGGUCUGGACACCACCCGGUACAACUGAAAACUGGACUUAAUGACAGCCAGAUCUCAGCCUGAGUGAAAGAUCGGGGUGAGGAGAAAGUGAGCAUUAGCAUUUGAGACAGGAUGGUGUCACAGCCUGCAAGUAGUCACUCCCAGACGUCAGUGCAUCUUCAAUGGAUUAGUACAUCUAGUGAAGAGACCUUGGAGAAACAUGUGUUGUGUUGUUCAGUGUCUGUUAGCCAAAAAUGUACAUGUCCAAACAAAGAAUUCACUGGUUAGC